Long non-coding RNA from Magnolia sinica, 2888 nucleotides. RefSeq lists it as uncharacterized. The record is from RefSeq and is a predicted model, not a curated record. The transcript has 2 exons. NCBI's taxonomy places the organism in Eukaryota, Viridiplantae, Streptophyta, Magnoliopsida, Magnoliales, Magnoliaceae.
CUUAUCUAUGACAUCGUAUAGGAAGCUUAUGGUAGAUGCUUCGUCGGUUUCAACAAGACGGAGUACCCUCAUUAGUGGCUCCAUCACCUUUAGGAUGACUUAACCCUCUUUCAAUAUUUGUUGUCCCGUAUGGUGUUCGCAACUUCAAUCGGUGUCCCUGAUGUCGUCUUCCUAUGUUUUGUGUUGAGCCAUUCUCGGGAAGCGAAUAUCUCACUCAACUCUCCCCUAUGUUGGAAUAAACUCUCUAAUGCUAUAAAGUUUGUUGCGAAUCUAGUCGCCGCAGGCUUCAACAACUCUCGUCCUUUCGUGAAUUUUCUCAUUAUUGUGACUAUUUGAUUAUGAUUGUAAAUAAACGUCGUCACUUCUCUUGCCUUUUCGACUAUUUCCUUAACAUUCUUCUUCUUCCCAAUAUCUUCCAAUAUAAGAUCAAUACAAUGGGCAGCACAUGGUGACUAAAAAAGAUGUUUUCUCUUAUUCAUCAACAAAUGUCCUGCAUGCUUAUAUGAUGCUUCAUUAUCUGUCACAAUCUACACUACAUUCUCCUCUCCAAUCUCUUCCACAACUUUAUCCAUUAGUCCAGUAAUAUAAUUAGAAUCUUUUGUUAUCUCUGAGGCAUCAAUUAACUUAUGGUAUAUAGUUCCUAAGUGGCAGUACACCAUGAAGUUGAUCAUGCUGCAUCUAGUUGGGACAGUCCAACCAUCACACAUGAUCGUGCAUCCUCUGGCUUGCCAUACAGGUUUAAAGGUAGCCACUUAUGCUUUCACAUCCGUAUACUCUGCAUCUGUCCAUUUCCCCCUAAUCUCCUUAGCCGUGGGAGCUUUUAUUCCUUCACCUGCUUUUGUUGCUGCAUCAAUUACCACCUGCCAAUAUGGAGAAUUGGCCGCGUUAGGAGGUAUGUUGGCAUGUAUAAAUAACUUUGCUGCUGCUCUACCUAAUUUCUCAACGGAAGUUCUACUCCACAUUUGUUUUGUCUUCUUUUGUUUAGUUGAUUCUUUCCUAAACAGGAUUGGAUCAAUAGAGGGUCUCCUAGGCUCAUUUACUUCUUCAUCCAAACGUAUAGAGGCAUCACAUGAAGUCUGUUGUCGGCUCCUAAACACACGUCGUAACCCACCAAACCUACCCCCCCUGCAGAAGCAGUUGCACUUCCAGUCCCAGUCCCACUCCCACUGCCCCUCCUGUAUCACGCACUGACCCAUGUGUGUCAUACAUGCGGCGACGUUCUUCCUAUUCAUGAGCUAGACGCAAGCUCUCUCUCCUAGCUAUAGUUAAGUCCCGAUCUGAAUCUUCGUUAGAAUCAACAAUAUCUUCAUCACGAACGCCCAUAUAUUCAGGACCAAACACGUUCUGUCGAGCUGCAUCCAAAACAUCAUCUUUCUUCUUUUGUAUAGCAACACGUUUACCCUUCGACUCAUCCAGAUUAGCUUGCAUUAAAAGCAUUAUCUCUUUCAGUACUCUAAUACAUACCACAACUUGGCCCUUUUGAUGUGUCAAAUGUUGUUUGAGACGGGUAAUUCCACCAAUUACUAUUCUAUCACAAUACUUGCACCUCAUUUGGUGCCUAGUACCAUCAACCCUCUCACAAUGUUGCCAUCUAAUAUCCUCACUCACUUGUUGUUGGCCAGACCCAGACAUUUCUUUAAGUUUAGUAUGAGUGUAUGAGUGUAUGACUUAUGUCAAUAAAGAUGAUUUUAUGUUCUAACUAAACCCUAAGAAGCUCCAAAACCUGUCCAAUAUAAGCAAAUAAAAACAUAAAGUCACUAAUUCAAAAAUAGAAAUAAAUUAUAAAAUGACACCACAAAUCUAUAAAAUGCACAUUAACAUGUUCUACCAUGAUUAACACAUCAAAUUCUAUGAUUAAAUCAGCAAACUAUUUAUUAAAAAAAUGAUUUUUCGAAUUUUUUUAGAAAAGGGCCAAAAUUAAUGCGUAAAUAGAAAAAAAUAUAAAAUGACACCCUAAAUCUGUAAAAUGCACAUUAACAUGUUCAACUAUGAUUAACACAUCAUAUGACAUGGUUAAAACAACAAAACAAUCAUUAAAAAAUGAUUUUUCGAAUUAAAAAAAAAAGGGCCAAAAUUAAUGCGUAAAUAGAAAAAAAUAUAAAAUGACACCCCAAAUUUGUAAAAUGCACAUUAACAUGUUCAGCUAUGAUUAACACAUCACAUAACAUGAUUAAAACAACAAAACAAUCAUUAAAAAAUGAUUUUUCGAAUUUAAAAAAAGGGCCAAAAUUAAUGCGUAAAUAGAAAAAAAUAUAAAAAUAUAAAAAAAAAAAAAAAAAUGACACCCCAAAUCUGUAAAAUGCACAUUAACAUGUUCAACUAUGAUUAACACAUCACAUGGCAUGAUCAAAACAAUAAAACAGUCAUUAAAAAAUGAAUUUUUGAAUUUUUAACAAAAGGGCCAAAAUUAGUGCGUAAAUAGAAAAAAUAUAAAAAUAUAUAAAAUGGCACCCCAAAUCUGUAAAAUGCACAGUAACAUGUUCAACUAUGAUUAACACAUCACAUAGCAUGAUUAAAACAGCAAAACAAUCAUUAAAAAAUGAUUUUUCGAAUUUUUAAAAAAUUGGCUAAAAUUAAUGCGUAAAUAGAAAAAAAUAUAAAAAAAAUAUAAAAUGACACCCUAAAUCUGUAAAAUGCACAUUAACAUGUUCAACUAUGAUUAACACAUCACAUGACAUGAUUAAAACAGUAAAACAAUCAUUAAAAAAUGAUUUUUCGAAUUUUAAAAAAAUGGCCAAAAUUAAUGCGUAAAUAGAAAAAAAUAUAAAAAUAUAUAAAAUGGCACCCCAAAUCUGUAAAAUGCACAUUAACAUGUUCUACUAUGAUUAACACAUCACAUGGCAUGAUUAAAACAGCAAAACAAUCAUUAAAAAAUGAUUUUAUGAAUU